This 2463-nucleotide long non-coding RNA is filed under the name Pan troglodytes (chimpanzee). Its description in RNAcentral is "long non-coding RNA NONPTRT015998". The record is from RNAcentral. Lineage: Eukaryota; Metazoa; Chordata; Mammalia; Primates; Hominidae.
GGCUGAGUCGCUGUUGGCAGGUGGACCACCGACCCCACUGCCUGAGCUUGGGAGCAGGUCAUGAGGGAAGAUAAACUGAAGCUGAGCCAAGCUGAAUUGGAGGCAUCUGAGACAAGAACGUGCGGACGCCCAGUGGACGAUCCAGGCAGGUUGGGGUGUUGGGGAUGGAGCCGUGGAUACACCCAUACUCAACAGGCAGAGGGAAUAGAUAUUCAACGGGGGACCGGGGUGUCAACAGAUGUAUCCGAGUUCAUGCGUGGCAGGGAGCUGGCGGCGGGACCCGUCCCUCCAGCUGGCUCUCCAACCCCAAGCCUGCAUUACGACCACGGCAAAAUGCCAGAAGCCCAGAGAAGCGGGGUUUCUGAAGCGGAUCGUUUGUUCAGCCCGAGUGCGUGGGGCAGGAACGCACCUGGAGGUCAUUAAAGAGAAGUCUUCACGGGGCACUCAAGGCACGCUGCAAAACGACUUUUUAUUUCAAAGGCCAAUAAUGAGAAUAAUGAGUUGCACAAGAAUGAAAACCUUAUCCCUUCCAAAAGAUCGGCCUAUACAUUAUGUAUAAAGUUAAAAUAAUUCUAAAUACAAAAUGCCAAAGACCAGCGGGUCCACUCCUUCCUCUCCUAAGCCAUCUUGACAGUUUCACAUUUCAGCUUCCAGACGUCAUUUCUGUUGCUUUUAAGGGUGCUUACCCAGCCGUGGUCUGUACCAGACAGGGUAGUUGGCACAGCGUAGGCACUGCCAGCAGGCCCUUGGGAGCUUGGCGAGGUGGGAGCCUUAAGAAAUAGCUGGCUCGGACCCAUGGCGGGGUUUGUGUGUCAACUCCCUGGUCCUCAGAGAAUCCCUGAGCCACGGGAGAGCAAACGCUGCUUCCAAAACCAAAGGAGGAAUUUUGCAAUCGUUUAGACGGGUUAUAAUAGAAUCUCAUUCAGAUCUUGAAGGUUAUCGGUGCUUUCUGCUGGUUUUUAUUCCUCAAAAAUGCAGCCAAGCUUUGCUGUGCUUAUCUUGGUGGAUCUGAGCUAGGUUGGGCUAUCUUUUUCUAAUUCAAUUGCCUUUUUUUUUUUGCAAGGAAGGGGGUUUCUGGUCCAUCGGAGGGAUCAAGGGCAUGGUCCUCACGUCUCGUCAGGAGACAAAAAUAGACAUUCAGCAGACAGACCACAGCCAGCGCAUGCGACCAGCGUCGUUUGGCUAUUUUAGUCUCUUCUUAAUACACAGACAAACGAGCAAAGAAAAAGCUACUUUGUCCAACACCGGGCCCUGGGAUGGAGUUUAGCCCUGCUUGGCUCUGCCCGCUAGUCUCAUAGUCAGGUCACUCACCCUAGGCCUGCGGGAACGGUGGUCUUGGUGGUCCUCUCUGGCCCUUCCACCUCUUCUGCCUUGUGGGGACCACCCAAGCCCUCUCCCGACUUGCCCAGAGGCUGCACGCCUCUCUGGCAUCACAGUCCGCACGGAGCCUGGCUGUAAGGCUCCACUGAAAUCCCCCCCGGCGCUGGCUUCGUGCCCCAGGCACACCCACCUCACUUCUGCCUCCUUUCUGCCAGUUUCUGGCCUGUUUGGUCCCAGCCCCUCCCUGCACUCUCUCCGCAGCUGUGUCUGGUGGGUGAUGUGAACCAAGGGACACCCAGGGUCAUGGCACUGCCUGGAUUCAGUUUGGUAAUCGUCGGCAGUCUGUCCCUGGCUUCUAAGCCUGGGGCCUCCUCCUCUUUCUCCCCAUCCUGGAUGAGCAGGACACACUGGGGAGACAGCAUCCUACAAAGGCCUCCUAAGAGCUGUGCCCUGUGCCAGGAAAGCCUCCCGUAUCUCCAAGGAUGUCCCUGGAGCCCUCCAGCUGGUGCCUCUGCUGAGGUCUGUGAGCAGCGGGAAUAGGCCUCUAGGCGAGGAGUUGGGGACAGGCCUCUAGGGGAGAGCACACCUCCGGGUACUGCACCUGUGGCUCACCAGCCACCUGCACGGGGCCAGCUUCAGCCUCAGCAGUGUCAGCUCAACAGACGUGACUGCUGUCAACACAGUGGGGCCAGGCCCUGGAGACUGACAUCUCCUGUGGCUGCCUAUUUAAAGGGCAUGGGAUAAAGAAAGAGUGUGUUAUUUUAAAGCUGGACUACCUAACAGCCUCUGAUAGCAGAUACAGCUUUGCUGCUGUUCUUGAAGUUCAAGGUGAUGUGGAGGUGUUGCAGUGACAAUCAGUACACCGUGAACAACACCUGCCACCAACGUCGACCCUGAAGUGGUAGAUGGGGCCUGCUUUGGCACUUGACGCUGGGGCAGGAGUCCCUUUCUUGGGGACUCACUCUCUACCUCGUCUCCCCCGGGAGUUGUCUACUUUCCUAGGCCCUGCCAGCAGCCCCCACAGCUCCGCCCAGCCCACUCCACCAGCUUGCUGCUCCCAUGGCUCAGCCCCACUCACAGCUCACCCCUCCCAUGGCUAGGCCCCAUCCACAGCUCACCCCUCCCAUGACUAGGCCCCACCCA